RNAcentral lists this ribosomal RNA (505 nucleotides) under uncultured bacterium. Its description in RNAcentral is "partial 16S ribosomal RNA". It matches the Rfam family "Bacterial small subunit ribosomal RNA", at positions 28 to 507 of the family's 1533-position model. The record is from RNAcentral.
GACGAACGCUGGCGGCGUGCCUAAUACAUGCAAGUAGAACGCACAGUUCAUACCGUAGCUUGCUACACCAUAGACCGUGAGGUGAGAACGGGUGAGGAACGCGUAGAUAACCUGCCUGGUAGCGGGAGACAACUAGUGGAAACGAUAGCUAAUACCGCAUAAUAUUAAGUAGUGCAUGAUAAGUAAUGGAAAGGUGCAAUGGCACCACUACCAGAGGGACCGUCGUAGUAUUAGCUAGUAGGUGAGGUAACGGCUCUCCUAGGCGAGGUUGCGUAGCCGCCCUGCGAGGGUGGUCGGCCACGCUGGGAUGGUGACACGGCCCAUACUCCUGCGGGUGGCAGCCGUAGUGCAUCUUUGGCGAUGGGCGCAAGUCUGAGCGCGCAACGCCGCGUGAGUGCAGAAGGUUUUCGGGUCGUAAAGCUCUGUUGUCAGUUAAGAACGGGUGUGAGAGUGGAACGUUCCCACUGUGACGGUAUCUUACCAGAAAGCGCCGGCUAACUACGUG